AUUGAACGCUGGCGGCAGGCCUAACACAUGCAAGUCGAGCGGAUGACGGGAGCUCGCUCCUUGAUUCAGCGGCGGACGGGUGAGUAAUGCCUAGGAAUCUGCCUGGUAAUGGGGGACAACGUUUCGAAAGGAACGCUAAUACCGCAUACGUCCUACGGGAGAAAGCAGGGGACCUUCGGGCCUUGCGCUAUCAGAUGAGCCUAGGUCGGAUUAGCUAGUUGGUGGGGUAAUGGCUCACCAAGGCGACGAUCCGUAACUGGUCUGAGAGGAUGAUCAGUCACACUGGAACUGAGACACGGUCCAGACUCCUACGGGAGGCAGCAGUGGGGAAUAUUGGACAAUGGGCGAAAGCCUGAUCCAGCCAUGCCGCGUGUGUGAAGAAGGUCUUCGGAUUGUAAAGCACUUUAAGUUGGGAGGAAGGGCAGUAAGCUAAUACCUUGCUGUUUUGACGUUACCGACAGAAUAAGCACCGGCUAACUCUGUGCCAGCCGCCGCCGUAA
Molecule: ribosomal RNA, 500 nt
Filed under: uncultured bacterium
Lineage: Bacteria
Description: partial 16S ribosomal RNA
Rfam family: Bacterial small subunit ribosomal RNA
Source: RNAcentral